UAUGCUAUGUAUGCCACGAAUACAAUUUG
RNAcentral lists this small RNA (29 nucleotides) under Bombyx mori (domestic silkworm). RNAcentral's name for it is "ovarian small RNA-23946". The record is from RNAcentral. Lineage: Eukaryota; Metazoa; Arthropoda; Insecta; Lepidoptera; Bombycidae.